Agrilus planipennis (emerald ash borer) is the source of this 832-nucleotide long non-coding RNA. RefSeq lists it as uncharacterized. NCBI's taxonomy places the organism in Eukaryota, Metazoa, Arthropoda, Insecta, Coleoptera, Buprestidae. The record is from RefSeq and is a predicted model, not a curated record. The transcript is spliced from 4 exons.
UUAUUAUUAAUAACCUAGUUUUCUGAAAUUGAAAAAUUGGAUUAUUUGAGUUCCUUUAGAUUUAUUUUUGUGUUUUUGUGUCUAAAAAGUGGAAACAGUAGUGCCUAUACGUAUGCUGAAAAAAUAAUAAUUGUCGUAUUAAUUACUCGUCAAGAAAUGUAUUUAUUCAUUUUAAAUUAAUGGUAAAUUUGAAAGGAAGGACUUAAAUCAAAGAAACAAAUGAUGUAAUUUAAUUUAAACAAUACGUGGGGUUAGCUUAAUUUUUUCUGAGUGGAGCAUGAUUUAUUGUCAGAGUGCAGUGAAACAUUGGAUGGAGAGUUAUUAUUGGAUUCUUGCAUAUAUUACCAGAUAGAACUUGUACUAGAAGUUGCGGAAGGAUUGCUUUUUGUGUUUAACAAUGUCUUCAUCUCAUAUACCACCUCUAAAGAAUGAUAAAGUGAUGGUUGUUGGAAGUGUUCAGAAGGGUAGCAUAAAUAUUUUACACACCAAAAACCGACAAAAGAGUAAAGUUGUAUUGGAAAGAGAAAACCAAAUGAAGUCACUUAAACAACAAUUUCCUCAUAUAGAUUCCAUGAAAAUACAUGAUAUAUUAUCAAAAGUUCAUUUUGAUAUGACACUAGCUCAAAAAGAAGCAGAAAAAGUCAGUAAUGGAAAUAAGAGUUCUACUUCAUCAGUGGAACAAACUAGUCACAGUAAAUCAUUGCAAGCAAUAAAUUGUGUUUCAAAAUUCUCUGGGGCAGUGGAAGAUCCCCUCGCUACAGAUAUUCACCAAAAUGUAAACAAGAAUUUUCAAUCCUCCGUAGCAGGUAAUUACCUAAGGUUAAAUUAAUAU